ACCUCAGUAACGGCGAGUGAAGCGGUAACAGCUCAAAUUUGAAAUCUGGGUCUUUCAGGCUCCGAGUUGUAAUUUGUAGAAGAUGCUUCGGGUGCGGCUCCGGUCUAAGUUCCUUGGAACAGGACGUCAUAGAGGGUGAGAAUCCCGUAUGUGAUCGGUUGCUUGCGCCCAUGUGAAGCUCUUUCGACGAGUCGAGUUGUUUGGGAAUGCAGCUCCAAAUGGGUGGUAUAUUUCAUCUAAAGCUAAAUAUUGGCCAGAGACCGAUAGCGCACAAGUAGAGUGAUCGAAAGAUGAAAAGCACUUUGGAAAGAGAGUUAAACAGUACGUGAAAUUGUUGAAAGGGAAGCGCUUGCAACCAGACUUGCGUGUCGUCGAUCAUCCGGGGUUCUCCCCGGUGCACUCGGCUUCACUCAGGCCAGCAUCGGUUUCGGUGGUUGGAUAAAGGCCUUGGGAAUGUAGCUCCUCUCGGGGAGUGUUAUAGCCCUCGGUGCAAUGCAGCCUACCGGGACCGAGGACCGCGCUUCGGCUAGGAUGCUGGCGUAAUGGUUGUAAGCGACCCGUCUUGAAACACGGACCAAGGAGUCUAACAUCUAUGCGAGUGUUUGGGUGUCAAACCCAUACGCGUAAUGAAAGUGAACGGAGGUGAGAACCCUUAAGGGUGCAUCAUCGACCGAUCCUGAUGUCUUCGGAUGGAUUUGAGUAAGAGCAUAGCUGUUGGGACCCGAAAGAUGGUGAACUAUGCCUGAAUAGGGUGAAGCCAGAGGAAACUCUGGUGGAGGCUCGCAGCGGUUCUGACGUGCAAAUCGAUCGUCAAAUUUGGGUAUAGGGGCGAAA
This 834-nucleotide ribosomal RNA is filed under the name Neofabraea kienholzii. RNAcentral's name for it is "eukaryotic LSU rRNA". It matches the Rfam family "Eukaryotic large subunit ribosomal RNA", at positions 77 to 928 of the family's 3401-position model. Lineage: Eukaryota; Fungi; Ascomycota; Leotiomycetes; Helotiales; Dermateaceae. The record is from RNAcentral.